AUGAACGCUGGCGGCGUGCCUAACACAUGCCAGUCGAGCGGCAGCGAGGGGUGCUUGCACCCUGUCGGCGAGCGGCGGACGGCUGAGUAACGCGUGGGAACGUGCCCCAAAGUGAGGAAUAACUGCCCGAAAGGGUAGCUAAUACCGCAUAUUAUCUUCGGAUCAAAGGAUUUAUCCGCUUUGGGAGCGGCUCGCGUCGGAUUAGGUAGUUGGUGAGGUAAUGGCUCACCAAGCCGACGAUCCGUAGCUGGUCUGAGAGGAUGACCAGCCAGACUGGAACUGAGACACGGUCCAGACUCCUACGGGAGGCAGCAGUGAGGAAUCUCCCACAAUGGGCGAAAGCCUGAUGGAGCAACGCCGCGUGCAGGACGAAGGCCUUCGGGUUGUAAACUGCUUUUAUAAGUGAGGAAUAUGACGGUAACUGAUGAAUAAGGAUCGGCUAACUACGUG
Molecule: ribosomal RNA, 450 nt
Filed under: uncultured bacterium
Lineage: Bacteria
Description: partial 16S ribosomal RNA
Rfam family: Bacterial small subunit ribosomal RNA
Source: RNAcentral